GAUGAACGCUGGCGGCGUGCCUAAUACAUGCAAGUCGAGCGAACGGACGAGAAGCUUGCUUCUCUGAUGUUAGCGGCGGACGGGUGAGUAACACGUGGAUAACCUACCUAUAAGACUGGGAUAACUUCGGGAAACCGGAGCUAAUACCGGAUGAUAUUUUGAACCGCAUGGUUCAAAAGUGAAAGACGGUCUUGCUGUCACUUAUAGAUGGAUCCGCGCUGCAUUAGCUAGUUGGUAAGGUAACGGCUUACCAAGGCAACGAUGCAUAGCCGACCUGAGAGGGUGAUCGGCCACACUGGAACUGAGACACGGUCCAGACUCCUACGGGAGGCAGCAGUAGGGAAUCUUCCGCAAUGGGCGAAAGCCUGACGGAGCAACGCCGCGUGAGUGAUGAAGGUCUUCGGAUCGUAAAACUCUGUUAUUAGGGAAGAACAUAUGUGUAAGUAACUGUGCACAUCUUGACGGUACCUAAUCAGAAAGCCACGGCUAACUACGUGCCAGCAGCCGCGGUAAUACGUAGGUGGCAAGCGUUAUCCGGAAUUAUUGGGCGUAAAGCGCGCGUAGGCGGUUUUUUAGUCUGAUGUGAAAGCCCACGGCUCAACCGUGGAGGGUCAUUGGAAACUGGAAAACUUGAGUGCAGAAGAGGAAAGUGGAAUUCCAUGUGUAGCGGUGAAAUGCGCAGAGAUAUGGAGGAGCACCAGUGGCGAAGGCGACUUUCUGGUCUGUAACUGACGCUGAUGUGCGAAAGCGUGGGGAUCAAACAGGAUUAGAUACCCUGGUAGUCCACGCCGUAAACGAUGAGUGCUAAGUGUUAGGGGGUUUCCGCCCCUUAGUGCUGCAGCUAACGCAUUAAGCACUCCGCCUGGGGAGUACGACCGCAAGGUUGAAACUCAAAGGAAUUGACGGGGACCCGCACAAGCGGUGGAGCAUGUGGUUUAAUUCGAAGCAACGCGAAGAACCUUACCAAAUCUUGACAUCCUUUGACAACUCUAGAGAUAGAGCCUUCCCCUUCGGGGGACAAAGUGACAGGUGGUGCAUGGUUGUCGUCAGCUCGUGUCGUGAGAUGUUGGGUUAAGUCCCGCAACGAGCGCAACCCUUAAGCUUAGUUGCCAUCAUUAAGUUGGGCACUCUAAGUUGACUGCCGGUGACAAACCGGAGGAAGGUGGGGAUGACGUCAAAUCAUCAUGCCCCUUAUGAUUUGGGCUACACACGUGCUACAAUGGACAAUACAAAGGGCAGCGAAACCGCGAGGUCAAGCAAAUCCCAUAAAGUUGUUCUCAGUUCGGAUUGUAGUCUGCAACUCGACUACAUGAAGCUGGAAUCGCUAGUAAUCGUAGAUCAGCAUGCUACGGUGAAUACGUUCCCGGGUCU
This 1371-nucleotide ribosomal RNA is filed under the name uncultured bacterium. Its description in RNAcentral is "bacterial SSU rRNA". It matches the Rfam family "Bacterial small subunit ribosomal RNA", at positions 28 to 1381 of the family's 1533-position model. The record is from RNAcentral.